This 535-nucleotide long non-coding RNA is filed under the name Olea europaea subsp. europaea. The record is from RNAcentral. Lineage: Eukaryota; Viridiplantae; Streptophyta; Magnoliopsida; Lamiales; Oleaceae.
GCCUCCGCUCCGCCUACUCCUCCCAUUCAGUCCGGCGCAUCUCAGUCUCCGCCUCCAUUCGCGCUAUUCCAGUGGUUGUUUAUGUCUAAGAUUAAGCUUGUCCCCGAGGUGUCGAACUCUGCCGAUAGUUCAUAAAUGCGCUAAAAUCCAAUCCGCCAUUAUUAUAUUUCUACCUGCACAUGCUGCACUAGUAAUUAAUUUUUAUGAUUUCAAAUUGUGCAAAUUGUAAUAAUGUUUGUAUUGUUUUCUUCUUUUUAACAAGUGAAAUUAGCACUUUCCUCUAGAAGCGGCACUGGCACUGCAACACAUUGCUUUUCAAUUGAUUUUGCCACCAAACAGACGACUUCCAGUUAAUUGCUGCCUCAGGCCCUCUGUGACUGUGAGUUUCUUAUUCUGUCACUGGAAUUUGGAAAUAGUAUAUAUUGCCCUGUGAAAUUGUGAAUUGAUUAUACUAUUGGCCUUUUAGAUGUGAAUUGCUUAUAGUAUUGCUAUGUGUGAAGAGAGUUGUCCUGUGAAUUGCUUUUCUUUUGCUUCC